UCUCCUCUUUUCCCUCCCCGGUCUCCAAAGGCGGGGAAAGCCUGCCAGCAGUCGCGGCCGGAAGGGCAUGUCAAAGGGAUGUACAUCAUGCUGGGGGUUCCCCGGCCUGAGGCUAUGGAGGGAGGAGUGUGAUGAGGAGGAGGGUGGAGCCGGGCCAUGAGUCCGCACGGCCUGCCCCCAGUCAGGCUAAUCAGACAAGGAGAGGGAUAAGGCCAAGCCAGAUGCGGCAGUUCAAGAGAGAGAGAGAGAGACACACGCAGCUGCCAUAUGAAUGACACUACAGAUGUAUCUCCAAGUCUGCUUUGGGAAACAUUGAAAGCCUUUCUAAGGUAUAGAGCUGGAGUUGGAGUAGGUUGGGACUGUCAUGAAUCCCGCCUUUGUUGUUCCUCCCGCUCACCACCAGAGGGCUCCGUCACCUGGGGAUUGACUUUAACUCUCUGGACUCCAUUUUCCAAAAUCCCCAUACCUGUCACUGAUUACCUGCUCAGCUGUUUCUCAUUUACUCAACUACUUAAGUCUCACUCUCACUCUCUAACAUUGCGAAGUCUUAUUUUGCCCUGGCUGACAUUUCUAAGCGUUCUCUGAGGUUUUGCAUUAUCUGUGUAUGAUCCUGGACUAUUUACCCUGUUUUGACCCAUUGCUGCCUGCCUACUACUACUGCCUUGUUUACCUGGAAAUAACCUGUGAUUGUCUGCCGCCUGCCCUGACCUCUUGCCUGUUUAUUUUCUACCACUCUGGAUUGUCUUUGUUAUUACUAUUGCUGGUGCUGACCUGCCUGUCUGUAUUACAACGUUUAUCAUAAUUAAAGCUGCACAUGGAUCUCAACUCUGAGGACUCAUCAUUACAGAAGACUUCGCCAAAAACCAAUCCAGUGGCUUUUUUCCACUAACCACCGAGGUCUCACCUCCUUCAUCAAACCCAGCGGCACACCCGGCCUCAGCUAGAACAAUUCACCGCACCAUGGAUAUAGCAGCAUUCUUCAUUCAAUUAAGCCAGGCAGACUUAUCAAUAAGAGAGUAUUCUCAUUUCUUUUCAAAUGUUGCCGCCCACACUGGUUUUGAUGAUGCCGCUUUGAAAUCCAUAUACCGAAUCAGACUCACAGCAUGCCAGUGGAGGGAAUUGCCAGACUCCGCAGACUACACAUGGGAGGUAUAUGUUAGGCUAGUACUCGAAACACUCGCUUCGGAGGAGCCUCUUCUCUCAAUCCUGAUCCCGGAUUCUAAGUCUUCUACAUCUGAAGCCUUUUCACGCCAUGUCACAGCCACGUCUGAGUCUGGUCCACACCAUGUCACAGCCACGCCUGAGUCUGCUCCAUGCCAUGUCACAGCCACGCCUGAGUCUGCUCCAUGCCAUAUCACAGCCACGCUUCAGCCUGCUCCAUGCCAUGUCACAGCGAAGCCUGAGUCUGCUCCAUGCCAUAUCACAGCCAAACCUCAGCCUGUUCCAUGCCAUGUCACAGCCACGCCUCAGCCUGCUCCAAGUCAUGUCACAUCAACGCCUCAGUCUGCUCCAUGCCAUGUCACAGCCAUGCCCCAGUCUGCUCCAUGCCAUGUCACAGCCACAUCUGAAUCUGCUCCACGUCAUGUCACAGCCAUGUCUGAGUCCGUUCCAUGCCCUGUCACUGUCAAAUUUGAGUCGGCUCCACACCACGCCACGCCAUGCCACAGUCCAGCCUUCAACGACUCAUUGUACACUGGCAAGAAGACAAGAGGCAGUUUUUUUAAUGAAUGUCUAUGUAGGAGAUGCUUCAUUAUGCUGAAUAAACUGAUUUUUUGCCUGUCCACCAAAAAUUCCAAAACAUGUUUUACUUGGAAUUAACUGUGUGUGGAGUUUACUAUGAUAAAAUUGCUGAUUUAUAAGAGAAGUCACAGACAAUCUUGUGACAGGUAUUUUUACGACUCUGCCCAUUCAUUUGUAUGGUAUUCGCAAACAGUGACUUACUGCUGUUACACACUAGUUGACCGUUACUCUCUCUCUCCCAUAGUAAAAGUGUGGUCACCUUAUGUGCCACAGAAACUACCAUGCAGCCAUCUUGAAAAUCUUGUCUCGGAACUUCCAGUGUCAAAGUGUAAUUAGCUAGCGAAGUGGAUUUACAGGUUAUAGAGUUGUCAAAAGUUAUCAUGAGUAUUUUAAAGUGUUCAAGGGAUGUAAUAAUAACUGGAAACAGAGCAGGAGAGUUUAAACAAGAGUACUUCAUUCAUAAAUGUACAAGAUCCUGCAUUCAUGCUGUGGACGUACUGAUGUGCCUCUGUGCUCAUGAAACUCCAAGAGACAACACAAAGUCAUUAAAAAUAUCUCUGUACGACACACCUCUGACCAUCUUUUCAUGUCAUUCACCCGACUGUGAUCCGGUUAAGGUGAGCAGAUUUUAUGAGUGUUAAACCAAGAGUGGGGAAGAGGUGCCACUAUAUUUAUACACACACACACACACACACAUAUACAUACAUGUGAAAGUGUAUGUUUUAUUUUAUAUUCUAUUUACGACAAUUUUAUUCACAUUUAAGCCUUUUAAAAAUGUGGGGUGACAAAUUAAUUUUAAAAAGUACAAAUGUAACUUCCUUUCAUGUUCUUGCAUGUAAAAUAAUACAAUCUGUCACUGCAAAUUUUUACACAAAUUAAGUUGAAUUACACGUAUAACAAUGAAACGAUUGUAUCAUUAAAAAGUGCAGUGUGUCAUAGCUGUCUGAAUGUGAUCUGUCAGGUCAAAUUUACCUCCGUGUGUGUUGGGAAAACGAACAUUUACAGUGACAGAAAAAACACCUCACAAGCAUUUUCACAUAGACUCACACCAUCAACUCUUGGUGAAAAAUACUUUAUGUGCUCCUGCACGUAAUCCAUUUUGAUUGACUCUUCUCAGUAGCUUCAGUGAAAACCGGAGGUUAAGAGACAAAAUGCGGAAGAGGAGCACGGAAAAGGGGCAGGGCUGAAUAAGGUGAUAAGUAAAAUGACUGUCAUGGUGCACUUUUAUGCCUCUAUGUUUGCUUAAGAUUUUAAUGCUUAAAUAUAAAAUAUUGAUUUUUAUGCCUAAAUAUAAAAAUAUGAUCAAUAUUUUAUGGAAUUUCUUGAAUACAAUGCAGACUUCAAACGUGGAUUCAACAUUGUUUAUCUACAAAUUAACAUCUUUAACCACAAAUUCUUACACAAUUUAUGUUAAAGAUGACAAGAACUGCCAUCACAACUCAUCUCUACAACUGUCUCACUUACGUGAUGCACAAUAGAUCUCUCCGCCUACUUGCUGCGUAAGUUCCUCACAGGGGAAGAGUCAUUCAUAUUUAUGAGUAAAGAUCAUAAGGCCCAUUAUAUCUAUAUUUUACACUUAUUUCCUAUAUAAAAAAUAUAUUGAAAUAAAUAAAUAGAUAUACCUUGUAUAUAAUCAUAAGAUUUAAUUGGGCCUUGACAACCUUAUUCUGGUACACUACCUACAUUACUAAGAAAUAAAAUACAGCAAUACACUUUAAGAGUAAUUAGAAUUACACCCUUAAAGCAAAUUACAAAGACAAAUCAGAGUCCACACGAAUGCAAGGAUGGAGUGGAGAGAAAUAUAUUAGAUGUGAUCAUGGGGAGAUCAAUAACAAAAUAUUAAGAACCUAAAAUUUGAACAGAGAUAGGAACUGUUUAAAGAAUAAUGAUAUAAUAUUAAACACUGAUUCUUUCUCUUUGACUUUUCAGGUUAACUGGUUAAAUGGAAAUGAAACUAGAAAUGAAACUGCCUGUAAAAGGCAAAACACAAAAUUGAGUUAUGACUGAAAUCAGGUCUCGAGUUAGGCUCAUAUGCUAAAAUUCAGAGAAAACUUGAUGUGAAAAUGCAGUCACUACAAAAUCCAAAUCAAUUCAGGUCUUGUAUUUCGUGAACAACCGCAGUGCGAUUUUGGGCAGCUAAGGUGGAGGGAGAGGGAGAUAUUUGAUGAGCAGGAAGAGGGAGCCUGUGGUGGUGCAUUACAGAAGCCACAUGGUCACUGCUAGAGAUACCACCAAGCUUCUUUAUGAGCGCUAAAACCUGUGUUGCACAAAAAUAUGUCUUAUUACCUCGCAUGACUGUCUUUUGGUCUGUAGCUGAGUGAUGCCAGUUGCCAGAAGCCAUGUUUAAAUGUAAAAGUCUCAUUGCUUUCGGUCAAUGACAAAAACAGAAAAAUACUACAAAUUUACGGUGCUAUUUUGUGAUUGAUUGUGGCAGUCUACAGCCCACCCUCAAUGCUUGCAACACACAGAAUGCCCCCAAAUUGAUUUUAACCAAUGCACAGAUUGAAAAAUAUAAAAUAUUUUAUUUAAUAAUGUGUUUGCCAAAUGUUUGAUUGGGUGGGCAAGACUCAUGUUCGGGUGGGCUCAGCCCAUCGCUGCCCAUGCCUAUAUCUGGCCAUGGAAGUGCCUAUUCAAUUUAAAUGAUCUUUUUCUUUUUUCUUCAAAAUUCAAAAAGGUAAAACCAUCAAAAUAAUUAAACCAUGCUUUGAAUGACGGGUGUUUGUUAAAAAAAUGAGCUUGUUUUUUCAUGACAUGUUUAUUCUGGUCUAUAAUAUUUACCUUUUGUUCUGUAUUCAUUGUAAUAUUUGUAUAUU
Myxocyprinus asiaticus (Chinese sucker) is the source of this 4553-nucleotide long non-coding RNA. RefSeq lists it as uncharacterized. Lineage: Eukaryota; Metazoa; Chordata; Actinopteri; Cypriniformes; Catostomidae. The transcript is spliced from 3 exons. The record is from RefSeq and is a predicted model, not a curated record.